CUACGGGAUGCUCCAGUGGGGAAUAUUGCGCAAUGGGGGAAACCCUGACGCAGCAACGCCGCGUGAAGGACGAAGGUUUUCGAAUCGUAAACUUCUUUGAAUGGGGAAGAAAAAAAUGACGGUACCCAAAAAACAAGCCACGGCUAACUACGUGCCAGCAGCCGCGGUAAUACGUAGGUGGCAAGCGUUGUCCGGAUUUACUGGGUGUAAAGGGCGUGUAGGCGGGGAGACAAGACAGAUGUGAAAUACCACGGCUCAACCGUGGGGGUGCAUCUGAAACUGUUUCUCUUGAGUGCUGGAGAGGAAAGCGGAAUUCCUAGUGUAGCGGUGACAUGCGUAGAUAUUAGGAGGAACACCAGUGGCGAAGGCGGCUUUCUGGACAGUAACUGACGCUGAGGCGCGAAAGCGUGGGGAGCAAACAGGAUUAGAUACCCGCGUAGUC
This 442-nucleotide ribosomal RNA is filed under the name uncultured bacterium. Its description in RNAcentral is "partial 16S ribosomal RNA". It matches the Rfam family "Bacterial small subunit ribosomal RNA", at positions 339 to 795 of the family's 1533-position model. The record is from RNAcentral.